Molecule: ribosomal RNA, 403 nt
Filed under: bacterium
Lineage: Bacteria
Description: partial 16S ribosomal RNA
Rfam family: Bacterial small subunit ribosomal RNA
Source: RNAcentral
UGGGGAAUAUUGCACAAUGGAGGGAACUCUGAUGCAGCGACGCCGCGUGAACGAAGAAGGCUUUCGAGUCGUAAAGUUCUUUUAUAUGGGAAGAUAAUGACGGUACCAUAAGAAAAAGCCCCGGCUAACUACGUGCCAGCAGCCGCGGUAAUACGUAGGGGGCUAGCGUUGUCCGGAAUCACUGGGCGGAAAGGGUUCGCAGGCGGAAAUGCAAGUCAGGUGUAAAAGGCAGUAGCUUAACUACUGUAAGCAUUUGAAACUGCAUAUCUUGAGAAGAGUAGAGGUAAGUGGAAUUUUUAGUGUAGCGGUGAAAUGCGUAGAUAUUAAAAAGAAUACCGGUGGCGAAGGCGGCUUACUGGGCUCAUUCUGACGCUGAGGAACGAAAGCGUGGGUAGCAAACAGG